CCCCUGGUGAAGGGAGCCAAGCACCCUGAAAUCUGGAAGGGUUUUCCUGGCUACACAAGCUGGGCACCUCGGGUGAAGUGGGAUGUCUCAAAGCCAAGCUAUUUUCUAGCAUGGGAAAGGAGGAACAGUUACUGCUCCUAACUACAGUUAUUUAACGGCUGCCAGGGCUUCAGCAUCUGCCUGGAUUAAUCUGGAUUUUGUGGUGGGCAGCAGCCAUUCAGCCCAAGUGCCUGGCAUUACAGUCCUGGUGGAUUUUGGAGGUGAAAAGCCCAGAGUCCUUCACGGGGGUUUCUGCCAAGCUGUAAAGCUCAUCCUGGUUCUCCAUGCUGCUGGAAAACCUGGUGGAGCUCUUCCUCCUUGA
This 361-nucleotide long non-coding RNA is filed under the name Junco hyemalis (dark-eyed junco). Its description in RNAcentral is "lncRNA (ENSJHYG00000016950.1)". Lineage: Eukaryota; Metazoa; Chordata; Aves; Passeriformes; Passerellidae. The record is from RNAcentral.